GCGCAGCAGUCGAGAAUCCUCCGCAAUGCUCGAAAGAGCGACGGGGGACUCCAAGUGCCUACGCUCAGCGUAGGCUGUUCCCGAGCCUAAAAAGCUCGGGGAGUAAGGGCUGGGUAAGACGGGUGCCAGCCGCCGCGGUAAUACCCGCAGCCCGAGUGGUGCCGCUAUUAUUGGGCCUAAAGCGUCCGUAGCCGGCUCGGUAAAUGCCUGGGUAAAAUCGUCUGGCCCAACCAGACGAAUUCCGGGUAGACUGCCGGGCUAGGGGACCCGGAGGAGGGAGAGGGGUACU
Molecule: ribosomal RNA, 289 nt
Filed under: uncultured microorganism
Description: partial 16S ribosomal RNA
Rfam family: Archaeal small subunit ribosomal RNA
Source: RNAcentral